AAACGCUGGCGGCGACACAUAAGACAUGCAAGUCGAACGGAAGUCGUUUUAGUGAUUUAGAUAUGAAAGAUUUAUCCGGAUUUGAAGAUGAUCUAAAACAAUGGCUUUAGUGGCGGACUGGUGAGUAACACGUAAGCAACCUGCCUGUUAGAGGGGAAUAACAACGAGAAAUCGUUGCUAAUACCGCAUAUGCCAUAGGAACCACAUGGUUCUAGUGGGAAAGGAGUAAUCCGCUAACAGAUGGGCUUGCGUCUGAUUAGAUAGUUGGUGGGGUAACGGCCUACCAAGUCGACGAUCAGUAGCCGGACUGAGAGGUUCAACGGCCACAUUGGGACUGAGAUACGGCCCAGACUCCUACGGGAGGCAGCAGUGGGGAAUAUUGGGCAAUGGGGGAAACCCUGACCCAGCAACGCCGCGUGAGGGAAGAAGGCCUUCGGGUUGUAAACUUCUUUUAGCAGGGACGAAGGACGUGACGGUACCUGCAGAAAAAGCAACGGCUAACUACGUG
RNAcentral lists this ribosomal RNA (508 nucleotides) under uncultured bacterium. RNAcentral describes it as "bacterial SSU rRNA". It matches the Rfam family "Bacterial small subunit ribosomal RNA", at positions 32 to 507 of the family's 1533-position model. The record is from RNAcentral.